GUCGUAACGGCUACAAACUUCUGCCCACCAAACAACGCCUUACCUAACAACAAUGGUGGUUGGUGUAAUCCUCCUCUUCAACACUUUGAUCUUGCUCAGCCUGUGUUUCAACGCAUUGCUCAAUACAGAGCUGGCAUCGUCCCUGUCUCCUACAGAAGGUAACAAAAGUCAACUUCUCUGCUUCAAAUUUUUCUUCAUAUGCUCUGUUUUUGAAAAACGAGUAUAUCAUAAUUCAGAAAACUUUAUUGGACAAAUCUUAAAAGUGGCGUUUUUUGUUUUUAUAAGAAAAUCUCCAAAUAUAAUUUUAUUAAUCAAUAAAAACAUUAAAUUAUCCUACUAUUAUCUAAAGCAUAACCAUAAUUUUACACCCUAAAUUAUAAUCAUUAAAUUCAAUCCUAAAAAAUAUAUAUAUAUAUUUAAAAAAAAAUUAAUUUAUGUUGAUUUAUCGACUUUGUAAUAUUUUUUUUUGUUAAGGUAAAGAUUGAUUUUAUAUUUCUCAACUUUUUUUAUUAGCUUUGUUCGAUGAACAUGAGUUGUGUGCUACUUUGCAGGGUUCCGUGUAUGAGAAGGGGAGGAAUUAGGUUUACCAUAAACGGUCACUCAUACUUCAACCUCGUUCUGAUCACAAACGUCGGCGACGCCGGAGACGUUCACUCGGCGGCGAUCAAGGGUUCAAGAACAGGUUGGCAAGCUAUGUCAAGAAACUGGGGGCAAAACUGGCAAAGCAACUCUUACC
Molecule: long non-coding RNA, 736 nt
Filed under: Brassica napus (rape)
Lineage: Eukaryota; Viridiplantae; Streptophyta; Magnoliopsida; Brassicales; Brassicaceae
Description: long non-coding RNA (BNAP_LNC015924)
Source: RNAcentral